Long non-coding RNA from Panicum virgatum (switchgrass), 4094 nucleotides. RefSeq lists it as uncharacterized. The transcript is spliced from 3 exons. Lineage: Eukaryota; Viridiplantae; Streptophyta; Magnoliopsida; Poales; Poaceae. The record is from RefSeq and is a predicted model, not a curated record.
UUACCACAUAAUUGCUGCCUCAGAGUGUUCUUGGAAUCAUUCUUGGAGGUGGUGCGGGGACUAGAUUGUCCCCCCUGACAAACAAGCGUGCCAAGCCUGCAGUUCCAUUGGGUGCCAACUACAGGCUCAUUGAUAUCCCUGUCAGCAAUUGUCUCAACAGCAACAUCUCAAAGAUCUAUGUGCUGACACAGUCAAGAGCCUAGGGAAGCAACAUUGGAGGUUACAAGAAUGAAGGCUCAGGGCACGUCCCAAUGUGGAUUUGUUGAAGUGUUAGCCGCGCAGCAGAGUCCAGAUAAUCCAAAGUGGUUCCAGGUAUCUGUACUAAUGUUGUGUGUUCUCUGAUUUUCUCUAAUGUGGAAUGUGCCAUUUCAGUAGCAUGCACGUCGGGGGUUUCUAAUAUGAGAUUUCAGCCUUAUUCUGAGACUAAACAUAGAGUGAAACAAAGGGAUGCUGCUCUGCUCAUUUUGCAUGAAUUUCAUCGGGAAAAUAUGUGCUCCAUUGCAAGUUGCAAUACUACAAUGGCAAGUCCAGCAUCUUUUCCACUUACAUGAUCCUCUGAUUGUUUGUUGAUGGAUCUUAAUGUGAACAAUAGGAUGAUAAGGUCCACACAGUUCUUUUCAAAAAAGGUCCACAAUGUUUUCAUAUUCUGUUGUACAUUUAUUUGCAUAUUUAGUUGCCCUUGAACAUUAAUAUGUUAUUAUUUUCCUUUUAUGAGUCCAAAUUUGACCAACAUUCGUGACAUGUAUUUUGAUGAUAGUCCUGGUAAUAUGUUCGUGCACUACUAUUUAUCUUUGGUCAAUGAUCUGUUUAUUGUGUGAAAAUUAUGUUUGAUGACUUCUAUUUACCUUGGAUAUUCACGUAUUUUUUAUGAUUUUUUUAUUACCCAUGACAACGCACGCACGGGCAUUCACCUAGUUAAAUUAAAGGACGUGUGGGUUGGGGGGGGGGACGCCUGGUCUCUCUGAUCUGGUUUGGCUAAGUAAUGUGUACGGAACCAUCAGUGCACACGUCCAUGUCGUCGUUGCGCCUCAACCAUAUCAUCUACCUACUGCAUGCAUUAAAGUUCUACGAACUACCCCUCCAUUUUUAAAUAUAUGACCCUAUUAACUUUUUUCAUUGUUUGACCUUUCAUCCUUUCUAUAAAUUUUUAUACAAAAAUAUAAUUUUAGAAGUUAAAUAUAAAGUACAUUUGAUGAUUAAUCUAGUGGUACUUAUUUUACUUUACUGAACUCGUUAGUCAAACUUUGAGUAAAAAAAAAAUCAAUUGUGCCAUAUAUUUAAGAAUGGAGGUGUUGACGAUCAAAAUUAGCAGCCCAUCAGGAAACCUGGAUACUCCGGAUAAAAGGCCGGUUACUCCGGACUAAAGUUCGAAUGCCCGAACAUUAGCCCGGAUACUCCGAGCCUACAGGUUUGAUCAGUCGAGUUUAGCGGUCUGACUGGUCCAUUUGAAGUCCGCAGAAAACUAGAGUUUUUUUAGAUUUAGAAAUGUAAAAAUGAUUUCUUGUGGGGCAAGACCUCCCCACCCUCCCCACCCUAUAAAUAUAAAGGGCCACGACCGAUUGAGGUAUCCAAUUGAUCAAAAACAUAUCAUUCUAUUACUUUUCAUCACUUUGCAUUACUUUUUGUCUACUCCAAACCGUAGCUCUUUCAACCCCCAUAUUUAUUGUUCUUCUCUCGUCUUCACGAUAUUUGAAGGCGUUCUAGGUGGCAUGCUGACCCUAAAACAACCCUGUGUGCGCUUGCCCUGACGGGAAAAAAUUAAAGGAUCUUCUACCAUAGUGAAGCUAACAAAUCCUAGUGAGGUUGAUGCCAACAAUAUCGUUAAGACGAUUAUUGACGAAUUGUCAGAGGAAGAUCGUCAAGCUUAUGAAACCUUCAUCAAGUAAUGUGAAGAAGAGAGCAUACAACGCAAAGCCAAAGAGAUUGAAGAAAAGCGUCAAUGGUGGUUGUCUCACUUCUCCAAGAAUCGGAAGGGUGGCGUCUCCAAGAACAAGGAGGUGGUCGUUCUUUCAGAGGAGAAAGAGCGUACCAAGGCAAACACCAAUACAAAUACAAUCGACCACAAAUGAAAAGACGAUUGGUUAUUCCUGCAAUGCAAAUCGAUCAGAAUCCUUUUCCCGUUCAUACACUUGAGUUGACAAAUCCACAAGUGUUGAUUUGGCAAAACCAAGUUGAAUCUGCCAAAGAGAAAAAUGUGAUCAUUUGUGAAGAGAGGACCGAAGAAAAAGUGAUGCAGAAAAGACCCCUCGAGUUGCAAAAAAAAGGCUUCAAUGCCCGAGGGGCAAGACAAGAAGACGAGGACUGGUGACAAGUCAACCGGUCUAACCGUUUCACAGGGUGGUCUGACCGGUGUACUAACCAAUAUAACCGGUACAGAGACCGGUCUGUCCAGCGUGUUGAGUGGGCUUGCAAGUUCCUUCAAGAUCAAGAACGAAACAAGGCCGAGCUUCAAAGAGCUCUUGGCCAAAUAUGAGCAGAAAGGAGCCACCCAGAAAUAGAACGAACGACCAAAUAAAGCCGAAGAUACACAAUCAUCAUCAAGACAUUGUGAGCAACUGGAUCCUCGUUCAUGUCAAGGUACAAGUGCUGCACCAUAUUCAUUCUUUGGAUCAGUUACUCCCUGGUUUUUGUCAUAUCCUUAUUACUAUUCACCUUCGGAUUAUAGUAGCUUGUAUAUGCAACCAUAUAUCAUACAAUAUCCUUCUACAUUUCCGAAUUGUGAUUCAUUACAAAGAUCAGUUGUUACUAAUAAUAAUCUAGUCAAAAGCAAGUUUGAAGAGUGAGAAGAGUGUGAAGCAAGAUUCAAAAUAUUUGCAGCCGAUGUGGUGUCCCUCUUGCUUAACUCACACUCAAAAGAGGAAGUUGCAACGAUUACACAGACGAUAAUCAUUGGAGCAUCAAUCUGAUCCAAAGCCAGCACCGUCUGCACCAACCAAGAACAAGUGGAGGCCAAAGAAGACAACUUCAACAUCAACUUGAGCAAAGUCAAGAUAUAUGGCCGAUGCAUAGUUCCAUCAUCCUUAGAAUAAAUAUAUGGCCGAUGUACUAUUCAUCAUCGCCCUUAGACAAUUUUUGUCCAAAAGAUUAUUUUUGAUUUGCAAGCAUUGCCAAAAAACAAGGGGGCAUAUGUUGACGACCAAAAUUGGUAGCCAGAUUAGAAAACCCGGAUACCCUGGGCUAAAGUUUGGACAUCCGAACAUUAGCCCAGAUACUCCAGGUUUAAGCUUGGAUACUCCGGUCCUACCGGUCUGAUUGGUCCGUUUUAGUAGUCUGACCGGUCCAUUCGAAGUCCGAAGGAAAUUAGAGUUUUUCUUAGAUUUAGAUCUGUAAAAAGAAUUUUUUGCGGGGCAAGACCUUCCCACCCUAUAAAUAUAAAGAGCCACGGCCGAUUGAGGUAUCCAAUCGAUCAAAAAUAUACUAAUCUAUUACUUUUCAUUACUUUGCAUUACUCUUUGUCUUCUCCAAACUCUAGCUCUUCCAACCUCAAUAUUUUCUGUUCUUCUCUCGUCUCCAUGAUGUUUGAAGGCAUUCUAGGUUGCCUGCCGACCCUAGUACAAUCCUGCGUGCGCUUGCCCUGACGGGUCCCUCCCGGGCGAGCGUUCGUCGGAUCUUCGCCGGCCUUCAACGAAGACCGAUUUGACCGAACUCCCUGACCGAUCUGACCGGACCUAAAUGGCGGCGCUGCAACGUGUGCCUCUGCUCGCUGCACGUGCUAGUGCUCUCGUGUGUUGGCCCAGAAUUUGCGCCAACAGGCGGGACCGCGCAAUAUCUUUAUUCAUCGCUAACAUAAUAUGGCGUAUGUCCGCUCUAUCCAAAGCCCUCGAGUACCACACGCUUGAAUAAAAGAGAGAAAAUAUAAUGUAGUAGCCACCAUUACAGCGAAGUAUAAACUUUUCAUUGGUAAUCUAUGCAUUUAAAUGUCCGAGUUUUUGUCAUGAAAAUUGUACUUCAUGACAUGCAUCACUGACAUAAUUUCGCUAACCGGUCCGUGUGCUAGGUUAACAUGAAUUUUCCUGUGUUUUUUCGAAUUGGGGCCAGCUGAGAGUGUGCUAACAGCCAAAAUUGGCACCAACCGGUCUGACCGGGCCGACCGA